RNAcentral lists this ribosomal RNA (636 nucleotides) under uncultured bacterium. RNAcentral's name for it is "bacterial SSU rRNA". It matches the Rfam family "Bacterial small subunit ribosomal RNA", at positions 40 to 672 of the family's 1533-position model. The record is from RNAcentral.
GGGGGGGCCUUAAACUUGCAAGUUCGAGCGGUAACAUUUCUAGCUUGCUAGAAGAUGACGAGCGGCGGACGGGUGAGUAAUGCUUGGGAAUAUGCCUUAGGGUGGGGGACAACAGUUGGAAACGACUGCUAAUACCGCAUAACGUCUACGGACCAAAGGGGGCUUCGGCUCUCGCCCUUAGAUUAGCCCAAGUGGGAUUAGCUAGUUGGUGAGGUAAUGGCUCACCAAGGCGACGAUCCCUAGCUGGUUUGAGAGGAUGAUCAGCCACACUGGAACUGAGACACGGUCCAGACUCCUACGGGAGGCAGCAGUGGGGAAUAUUGCACAAUGGGCGCAAGCCUGAUGCAGCCAUGCCGCGUGUGUGAAGAAGGCCUUAGGGUUGUAAAGCACUUUCAGUAAGGAGGAAAGGUUAGUAGUUAAUACCUGCUAGCUGUGACGUUACUUACAGAAGAAGCACCGGCUAACUCCGUGCCAGCAGCCGCGGUAAUACGGAGGGUGCGAGCGUUAAUCGGAAUUACUGGGCGUAAAGCGUACGCAGGCGGUUUGUUAAGCGAGAUGUGAAAGCCCCGGGCUCAACCUGGGAACUGCAUUUCGAACUGGCAAACUAGAGUAUGAUAGAGGGUGGUAGAAUUUCAG